CUAACCUACCCAACCACCCCCUAUUUUUCCUCCAACUCCCUCAACCUCCCACAUCACACCCCUAUAUAUACACACACUACAACACACAGACAACAUAUAUACACACACAUACAACAACAAAAAAAAAGGGAGACACACCCAAAACUUAGACAAAAAAAUCAAAGAGAAACAAAGGGAAAACAAGAAAAACAGUGAAUGGAGAAAACGGAAAAAAGAAAAACAAAAUUGGAAGAAGAAUAAGAAUAACAAGAAGGAGAGUUCUUUAAAUUUGGUGAAUUGAGUUUUGGGUCUCCGUUUGAGUUUUCCGGUGAAGGCGUUCUUGUUUCUAGUUUAGUUAUUCUACCACACAGGUUUCUAUUUGAUUCCUUUACUCAUAUUUUUUUUUGGAAAUCAAAGCAUGAAUGAAGUUAUU
This 412-nucleotide long non-coding RNA is filed under the name Capsicum annuum. RNAcentral's name for it is "long non-coding RNA (CANN_LNC003888)". The record is from RNAcentral. Lineage: Eukaryota; Viridiplantae; Streptophyta; Magnoliopsida; Solanales; Solanaceae.